Molecule: ribosomal RNA, 498 nt
Filed under: uncultured Flavobacterium sp.
Lineage: Bacteria; Pseudomonadati; Bacteroidota; Flavobacteriia; Flavobacteriales; Flavobacteriaceae
Description: partial 16S ribosomal RNA
Source: RNAcentral
CACGGAGUUAGCCGAUCCUUAUUCUCACAGUACCGUCAAGCUGAUUCACGAAUCAGUGUUUCUUCCUGUGCAAAAGCAGUUUACAAUCCAUAGGACCGUCAUCCUGCACGCGGCAUGGCUGGUUCAGGCUUGCGCCCAUUGACCAAUAUUCCUCACUGCUGCCUCCCGUAGGAGUCUGGUCCGUGUCUCAGUACCAGUGUGGGGGGUCUCCCUCUCAGGACCCCUACCCCAUCGUUGCCUUGGUAAGCCGUUACCUUACCAACUAGCUAAUGGGACGCAUGCUCAUCUUUUACCGUUGUGACUUUAAUAAUUAAAUGAUGCCAUUCAAUUAUACUAUGGGGUAUUAAUCCAAAUUUCUCUGGGCUAUCCCCCUGUAAAAGGUAGAUUGCAUACGCGUUACGCACCCGUGCGCCGGUCUCUAGCUCCGAAGAACUAUACCCCUCGACUUGCAUGUGUUAAGCCUGCCGCUAGCGUUCAUCCUGAGCCAGGAUCAAACUU